This 93-nucleotide transfer RNA is filed under the name Methylobacterium frigidaeris. Its description in RNAcentral is "tRNA-Thr". The record is from RNAcentral. Lineage: Bacteria; Pseudomonadati; Pseudomonadota; Alphaproteobacteria; Hyphomicrobiales; Methylobacteriaceae.
GCAGGUCCGGCGCGAUGGCGUCGCGCUGCGCCUCGGUGAGGCGCAGGCUCGGACCGGCGACGCUGAGAUUGCCGAUCGCCCGGCCGGUCUGCG